Long non-coding RNA from Tigriopus californicus, 1022 nucleotides. RefSeq lists it as uncharacterized. The record is from RefSeq and is a predicted model, not a curated record. The transcript is spliced from 3 exons. NCBI's taxonomy places the organism in Eukaryota, Metazoa, Arthropoda, Copepoda, Harpacticoida, Harpacticidae.
CAGGGCCAAGCACCAACCCACAACAAUCAGAUCAAGAAGAACGGGAUGUAGACCCUACACCUGGGACAAGCACCGACAACGUUCAACGAAGGGUUAAGCGGAAACGAUCCAAUGACCCCAGCAGCAGAUCAACGACCAUCUUGAGUCCAAGCAAUAUGUUGGAUACAAAUCGAAAUGACCUUGCUUCAACCUCAGCGACCAAAGUAUUUGAGGAUGAUAGAUUGAAGGCUUUUUGCCAAAAGAAGAGGAGUCAUCGCUAUACUAAACAUGGUAUAAAUGACAUUGUCUAUCUGAUUUGGUUCGCUCGCAAGCAAAACGUAUCACUUUUGGUGGUAAGUUUAACAUCCAUGUUUAGGGAAGUCAUAAAGCAUGUUUGGGAAAAACUCCAACAAACUUUCUCCGAGGAAGAAAAUCGUCAAAUAUACAUGGUAAGAACUAACGCGAAUGAAAGUUUAAGCCAGGCCAUAACUUGAUGUGCUCCUAUGGAUUUCAGACUUUCAGCGUCGAAGGAAUGCAUCACGGAUUAAACACGGGUUAAAGAUGAACCAGGGAGUGGAGCUUAGGGUCAAAAUCUUGUCCCUUGAGCAUGUGGACCACAAAGUGGCAACACAAGGCUUUGUACCUCAGGUUCCAAUCAAUCAACAAGCAGGGGUGGAUAUUUUCAAAUGUUUCCUUGGGAAUUCAAUGUUCAAUUUGACGAUAACGAUUUGCAUUUCAAGGACAAUAGUCUUGUUUCCUCGGUGACGGCAGCUUUUUUCUGGAACAAUUUCUAAACAAGGCAGAUUUGAGAACUUGGGGCACAAUCCGAUUUUUGAAUUCUCUGACGUCAAAACGAAGGCAGCGUGCUCAAAUCCUUCUGAAUGAGAAAUCAAUAGAAAUUGCAAAUCGGUUGAACAUAUCGUUCGGAGGGCUUCAAAAAGUUGAAGUGUUCGGUGAUAUUGCCGCAGUGUUGGAGAUGAACAUUGUUGUCCAUGGAUCGCAUGGAAUAUCAUAUAUGUUUCCCCCGACCUAUGCUCCUCAAC